This 310-nucleotide long non-coding RNA is filed under the name Brassica rapa (field mustard). RNAcentral describes it as "long non-coding RNA (BRAP_LNC002335)". The record is from RNAcentral. Lineage: Eukaryota; Viridiplantae; Streptophyta; Magnoliopsida; Brassicales; Brassicaceae.
AGGGGUGGGCACUUUACCCGAUAUCCGAAGUGGCACCCGAACCCGAUCCGAAAAACCCGAACCGAAAUCCGAACCGAAGUAGCAAAAUACCCGAACGGGUAUUGAAUAAGGAGAGAUUGGAUACCCGAACCCGAACGGAUAAUACCCGAACCCGAAUGGAUAUCCGAAGAUAACCGAACAUAUGUAUAAUUAACCUUGUAUUUCUAGUUUAUAUCUCUCAUUUUAUAUAAAAUAUUUAUAUUGAUACUACAUAUACUUUAAGUUCAUAUGAUAUACAUAUAAUUACGGAAAAAAAUGAUUUGCUACUCAC